CAUUUCUUCUGCCUAAGAGGUUGAAAUGGAGGAGAGACAGCCUCCUGCUCUCUUGCCUCCUAGUUCCUAGGCACAUUCUCUUGGACUCUGUAGAAGACAACCUGGCAAAAAAUGCUUUAAUAUCAAGUUAUGAGCACCUUAGUGCUUAGUAAAGAGGACUGUCUCAGCAGGGAAUGCUGCUGAAUCUCUUGUUUCCUGGGCAAGAUCAGCUAUUCUUGCUUGUUAGAAAGGCAAUAUUGCCCUUUCAAAACUAGGAGUAUUAAUCCUCUGGCAAAAUCCCACUUUCCUUUACCUGCCUACUCCUAACUGGAUAUGUUUUUGAGUUGCCUCAACUUCUUCCCUAGCUCAUGUAAUGUUCUAUUGGAAUUGCUGUGCACUAAUGAAUAACUAAUUUUGUUUCUCCAGACAGAGCUGCUGUUGUGUCAGUGGAGUGACACAGUGGCUCAAAAGGAAACUGACACUUGAAAAGAGUUUUUUAAGUACAGGAAAUCAGAGGGUAACAAAUGCACUGAAAAUAGGCAGUGUGGUGCUCAGCAUGUGUGUAUUUAUGGAUGGACCCUCUAAUUAGUUUUGCUGAACAUUUGAAAUCUGCUGCAUAGUUCUAAAUUUAUCACUACUAGAUAGGAGAGAAAUCUGGGAGAGAAAAAGUCUUUUUGUCUGUUGGCCCAUAGUUCACUUGCAGAUCUUUGUUCUGAUAGGUAUUUUAAUUUCCAGUAUUAAUAAAAAAGAGGUAUUUGCUGCUCUUCUCUUUUAUAAGGGUACUAAAGAAGUAAUCAUCACUUUGUAACUGUAAGAUUGUUGUUAACUUUAUGGCAGAGAAUGGUUUAGCUGAAAUUAAAGUCACCCACAUGACUGUAAACAUCCAUCAGUUAAUUUCAUUUUCCAGGACUGGGAUCUUAUGAAAACACAUUUUGCUUGAGAUAAUUUGUAUCUCCUGCCAUUCUGAUGCCUUUGAAACCUUCAAACACAACCUUUGGCCGUGUGUCCAGUGAGAGCAGCAUGGACAGGGCACAGCUGCAGAGGGAGCAAACCAUAUGUAUGUUGGGGAACUGGUGGCUGGCUUUUCAGGCUGGGCUGUGGGCAGCAGGAGGGCUCAGUGUUCAAACCCCUGGCUCUAGAGGUUCCCUAGGCAGAUUAAGAAGGUGUUGGAAUGAUACCAACUUCUGUCUGACCCUGAUUCUUGUUGCCUCUGCUGUUUUGGCAGGUUGGACAAAGCCCUUAAUGUGUGGCUGUGUUUAUUGUAUGUUGCCUGUGUUGCUGAGUUGGUGUGAGACAAUGUGUGGUUACUGCAGUGAUGUAGGAAAAGCUUUUAUCAUUUCAGAUGAUGGUCAGAUCAGGUUGUGGGGACCAGGAAUGGAGCAUCUGGUUUUGUGAGAGCCAUUCCUUCAGUGGCAGCUCCAUCCCUGUAAGAUCCUUCUGCAGUGCAGAGUUCCCUUCCUGGACACUCAGUGCACAUGGAGAGAGUUCAUCAUCAUGAAGUCCAGUCUGUUUUCUGAUGAUUUUCUGUCUGAAAUUGUCCACAAUAAAAGUAAUUUGUGAA
This is a long non-coding RNA of Melospiza melodia melodia, 1540 nucleotides long. RefSeq lists it as uncharacterized. Lineage: Eukaryota; Metazoa; Chordata; Aves; Passeriformes; Passerellidae. The record is from RefSeq and is a predicted model, not a curated record. The transcript has 2 exons.